This 375-nucleotide ribosomal RNA is filed under the name uncultured organism. RNAcentral's name for it is "partial 16S ribosomal RNA". It matches the Rfam family "Bacterial small subunit ribosomal RNA", at positions 527 to 896 of the family's 1533-position model. The record is from RNAcentral.
GUAGGGUGCGAGCGUUAUCCGGAAUCAUUGGGCGUAAAGAGCUCGUAGGCGGUUCAGCGAGUCGGCUGUGAAAUUCCGAGGGCUCAACCUCGGAACUGCAGUCGAUACUGCUGUGACUCGAGUCCGGUAGAGGAGAAUGGAAUUCCCGGUGUAGCGGUGAAAUGCGCAGAUAUCGGGAGGAACACCAGUAGCGAAGGCGGUUCUCUGGGCCGGCACUGACGCUGAGGAGCGAAAGCGUGGGUAGCAAACAGGAUUAGAUACCCUGGUAGUCCACGCCGUAAACGUUGGAUACUAGGUGUGGGGUUCCGACCAACGGUCCCCGUGCCGAAGCUAACGCAUUAAGUAUCCCGCCUGGGGAGUACGGCCGCAAGGCUA